This is a long non-coding RNA of Octopus sinensis (East Asian common octopus), 182 nucleotides long. RefSeq lists it as uncharacterized. NCBI's taxonomy places the organism in Eukaryota, Metazoa, Mollusca, Cephalopoda, Octopoda, Octopodidae. The record is from RefSeq and is a predicted model, not a curated record. The transcript has 3 exons.
UGUGUGUGUGUGUGUGUGUGUGUGUUUUUGUAUAUAUGUAUGGAAUCGUAAAAUAUAAUUGCCAAUUAGAUGUGGCGGUCCCAUAGGAGACGAUGCUACUGUUGUUUUUAGCCCCAGGAGAACAUUUCCUCCAGCUGGCUAACGAUACACCGUCUGUGGCUGAUUAGUAUUUGUGAGGGGAA